Molecule: long non-coding RNA, 5314 nt
Organism: Brassica rapa (field mustard)
Lineage: Eukaryota; Viridiplantae; Streptophyta; Magnoliopsida; Brassicales; Brassicaceae
Source: RefSeq, a predicted model, not a curated record
AAUCUUAAUUUGUGAGUUAAAAUGAUAAGAAUUCAACUCCCAAUAACACUUACUUUAAUAGAUUUGUAGAAUCAUUAAAAUCUAAACUUUUUGAAUAACAAAUGAUUUUGUAUAGAGUUAUAGAAUCAUCAAACCAAUAACAAUAGAUUUCAAUGAGAAUAUGAGAAUCUAUAAACCAAUAACACUAGACUUAGAAAUUCUAAGAUUCAUUAUAAAUCUCAUCCCCACUAACACCCCCUAAUGGUUUAUGAAAUCUUUCGUGUUGGAGGGAAUGAUGAAUCCUUCAAUCUUGUUUAUAAAGAAUGUAGGAAGAAAACUAAUACUAAUAAAUACGAAAAUAUAUUACAAAUCAAUAUUUUGGAUGAAUAUAAGGAACCAAUAAUAACUACGCAUUAACCUAUCUGCCUUAUUUGUUCAAUCACAGCACUAAAAUUGAUGCCACUACGAUAUUCUGGCCAGAAACACAAAAUAUCACUGACUAAUAUGGUGUUUUGACUUGGUCAGAAAAUUUACAAUAAAUACCAUUAAGUAACCGUAUUUAUUAGCAAUUAUUCCGUAUGGCAAUAUUUUUUUUUGACAUAUUCCGUAUGGCAAUAUAGUUGGAGCAAAUCGAGCAGAUUUGCCUUUUUCAAAAGUUUUUCUGCCAUUUGUCUUGGAAAACUUUAUGUUGAUUUCAUAUAAUCAAUGACAAAAAAAAUAUAAAAAAUCUAAUUCCAUAAUUCAAAGGUAUGUUGUCUGAGGUUAUAAAUAUGAAUAGUAAGGUAAAAAAGUGUCAUGAACAAAAUGUUAGUUUGCUCGAGAACCUGUAAAUUCAGUUUAGACUGGUAGAAUUAGUGGUAACAUGCUUGGACAAUGGAAUGUUUGUUUUUAUAACCAUUGAUAUUUUGAUUCGAAACAAAGGUGUUUGUUGUGGACCGUAUAUUUGUUCAUGACAAUAGGUUUUAAAACAACACGAACCAUUGUUUUAAGUCUAAUAGACAUAGUCAAGCUUGAGUUUAUUCCAGGACAAUACGUGAUAAUAAUUUUAUAGGUUCAUGUACCAAAAUAUCAGUUUGUCUCUAAUAAUGCCAUACUUGUCAUGAACAGAAUGAACAGAAGGACAAAAAGGCACUUACAAAACAUACUAAUACGGUUGUGUUUAUUUCGUAUGCGAAGAUGAAGAAGUCACGAUUUUUUUCAGCCAACGAUUUAAAUUGUACAUAAAUUUGAUUGAUAAACCCGGUUAAAACAAUUGACAAUGUCGACCGGUUAUUGUAUUACGAACCAGGUAAAGUUGUAUGACAAAUAUCUUUAAUCUGUUAUUCAAUAUAUGUCUUAAUAUAUGUAUAAUAGGUACCAAUGGCAAUACUGGUAAAUAUUCUAGUAAUUUAAGGACUAUUAGAUUAGUUGGCUGAGAAGAGCUGUGAGCUUGCCACAUAGGCUAUAAUGGCAAAGUUGUUAUUAAUUUACCAAAGGAAGGUUAUUUAUUAAAAAUGCUUCUUGAUUAAUAAGUAAGGGAUGUGGGAAGGGAUGGAGGGAGAGUCCAAGGUUCUAUAACCAGGAGAUGAAAGUAGAAGAUAAGAGGAUGACUCAAAAAGUAGAGACUUUGAAGAGUUUCCAAGUAAAUGAUAAAAUCAGAGUUGCAAAACUUUAAGUUUCAGAGUUUAAUGAGACACACUUGGAAGACUUCGAGGAAAGUCUUCUAACAUUUAAUGCACUAGAAGACUUCCAAAAAGUCUUUUGACAGAGCCUUUUCUCAUGUCAAGUGGAGUCCAAACUUGUCUUUGUGAAGAAAUUAUCUAUAAUAGUUUUGUUUAUGAUAUGUUUUGUAAUUUGUAUGUGUACUAUUUUAGUUUCAAAUUCUUUUGUAAAUUUGAAAUGAUAUUAAUGGAAUUUUUUGGUAAAUAUGUUCAUGUCUACAAUAUUAUCUUGCCAAAAGUACUUGAAAUUAUUAAAAUUAUUGAUAUAAUUUUAAUAGCAAAACAAAAUAACACAAAACAUUAGUCAAAUUUGCUACAACUAAUGGAGAAAACUUCUCAAAAAAACCUUAGUCAAAUUCAUAAAAGAUCAAACAUUACAUUAGUUCAAACAUAAAACAGUUUCACUAGAAGUCUUCCGAAAGACUUUUGGGAUGUCUUCCCAAAGACUUCUUCUCAGAAGACUUCUCGGAAGACUUAAAUUUCUAGCGAGAAAUUUAAAUAUAAGGGAAAAAUUUAAGCGGGAAACUCAAAUUUUAAGUGAAAUUGAAAUUUCAAAUUUCAUAAAAGUAUAUUUUAUGAUCUAAAAAGACACAUUAAACCAUGUGACUUGAUAUUCUUGAAGUUACUUAACACUUUUGAAAAUUAAAAAAUAUAUAUUUAUAGUUGAAAAUACAAGUUUAAUAGUUUAGAGAAAACGAAAGUUUAUUAAACGUUGACGACUUCCACGGAAAUCGUCCGGAAGACUUACAAGGAAGUCUUCUGGUCAAUGCAUAGAAUAGUUUUGCAAUUGACUUUUAUGUGUCAGAAAUUUGAUUUUUUCUAGACGACUUACAUGUAAGUCGUCCAAUAGAAAAAUAAAAACUAAAUAUUUAUUUUUUUCUAAAUGAGUUCCAUGUAAGUCGUUUCAAGUUACUUUUGCAAUUAGAAAAUAAAAAUUAAAUAUUUUAUUUUAUCCGGACGUCUUCCAUGUAAGUCUUCCGGUAGAAAACUUAGACGAAAGUCUUCUAGGAUUUUAUUCCGAGAUAUUAUGAUUUUAGAAAAAGAUGUAUUGCUAUGGUUUUAGUAAAUAUUUACGAUUUGUGAAUAGUUGUGAUGUUUGUUAAAUUUUUUUCAUUUUUAAAAUACUCAAAACAUCAAUAAUACAAGGCCGGGGAAAAGAAUAAUUUCUCUGGAAAUAAAUUAAACGAAAACAUGUUUCUACGGAGACUAAUCCCUAAUAUAUACAAUUAAUACAUGAUAAACAAAAUAACGCAUUAGAUAUAAAGUUACUUUUUUGAAACUAUAUAAAGUUAUUUUUUAUCUUUUAAUUACACGUAAAGACUUUAUUUUAAGCCUAAAAUCGAUGAUCUUGCUACAUAAAUAUGCGAUCCUUCAAAACAAUAUAGACGAUUUCAUCUCGGAUUUAUUUUUGCAACACCAUUAAUGUUGGCCAUUUAGGCUUGCAAAUGAUAAAGAUUGUGAAGAUUAUUAUUAACAUAUUACGAUAAAAAUAAAUGGUUUGAAAUGGUGAUGAUUGUGAGUAAGUAUAAAUAUUUUGAAAACAUGCAACUCUAAAAUAUUACAUUAAAGGUUGCAAGAUGUUUUUAUUUAUAUAAAUUUUAGUUUUGUCAAAUACUAUAUAUUUGAUAUCUUAUUUUGUUUUAUAUUUUAUAUAAUUAUCUAUGAUUGUACUUUCAAAAACUUGAUGUGAACAUAUUUACAUUACAUAUGUAAAACUUUGUCAUAUCUGUGUUUUGCUAUUAUAAGAGAAAUCAUAAUAUAUUUUUUAUGAAAGAUUGGAAUAACCAUAUGAAUAUAUUGUACUAAAUAUAUUGCACAUUAUUUAUCAAAAUCUUACAAAAAUAAUAAUUUAUAAAAAUUUAUAAGUUUAAAGUGAAUUAAAAAAUGAUAAUUCAUAAUCACUUUUCAUCUAAAAUGAUAUAAAAUCAAAAUUCAUAAAAAUUGAAUGAAAAUAAUAGAAUAAAUUAAAUAUUUUGUUGAGUUAUAUAUACAUUAAAAAUGAAUGAAAAUAAUAGAAUAGAUUAAAUAUUUUGUUGAGUUAUAUAUACUAACGUUAAUGAAAAAUAUUUAGUCCAUAAUAACAAAUUUUAAUUUAUAUUUAUUAAGUUUGAAAAAUACAUUUCAAUAUACAAAUUAUAUAUGGACAAGGUAAUAUGAAAGAAAAUAGAAGUCCAAACUUUUGGUAAGAAAUCACUUUUAUAUUAUUUUGACUAUAAUCUAAGAAAAUUAAUUGAAAGAUUUUAUCUAAGAAAUUCCUUUAUGCAAGUUUAUGUUUAUAUAUAUAAUAUCAAUCUAAAAUAAGAGAACACUCAAACAAUUUAGAAAACAUCCUACAAAAUGAGUCUCUUCCAAAAUAUAUUAAUCUCAUUUGUUUUCACUAUUUUCUUCGUGACUUCAAAUGUUCACGGCACCAAUAAUGUUCCGGAUUUUGGAGUAGAACAAAAAAUUACAAAAUGCUAUGGUCCUUGUAACCAAGGAGCUGCAGGAGCUGCAGAAUGUGACGGGUUUUGUAGAGCCAAAAAUAUUCAGUCAAAGGGAACUUGUAGUUCUGGCUUUUGUUGUUGUGUGUGGCAAAUAAAAAAUUAGAAUAAUCUUAUUAGAUAUUAUAUUUUUAAUAAAAGGAAAAUAACAUUACCAAUUAAUACAUAAAUAUGUUAUGAAACUAAAGUUGCUUUGAUUAAUCUCAAGAAAAUAUUAGUCAAAGUUUACUAAAUAUAAAAAAUGUAAUAAACUAUACAUGAUAUAAAACUGUAAAAAAAGUAGGUUUUUGGUAAACCAAGUUUUCAUAUGAUUACCUAUUUACCUUUGAUAAUUAUUUGUACGUUUAGCAUUUUUCUCUCGUAUGAGUUUGAUCACUUCUCACGAAAGUAAAAGGUUUCAAUUUUAUUUUGUAAUUGUUUGUCGAUAUAAUUAUGUAUUUUAUAGAUUAGAAUAGUUAAGAAUAACAUUUUCAAUAGUGGUUUUGUUCAUAACCUUGCAGUUAAAUAUCAUUUAGUUGUUUCAUAUCACUUUUACUUUCUGUUAUUGUUUAUUCUAAAAUACUAUAUUAAUUAGAUAAACAAAUAUAAUUUAUAUAUAUAAGUAAAUAUUGUAAGAAAGUGUCUUGAGUGUUUGGUGAUAUGAAAUAAAUGAUCAUAACUUUUUGGAUAAUGACAAUGAAGUGGAAUAAAAUUCUACUUGAGAAUUUCAAAAGAUAUUAGUGAAUCGAAAUGUAAGAUUUUUGUAUUCAUCAAAAAUAGAUUACAACAUAUAAUUAAUGGAUGAUUUAUUAAGUGGGUAUCAAGAGGAGGGAAAUAUAUUCUUAUAAAAUCCAUUUUUUUGCUUUUCCAACCUAUGUUAUGUCCAACUUCCUUUAUUGUUGGAUAUCUUUGAAAAUUUCGCGAGUGCCAUUACACGAUUUUAGUGGAGCUCAAAUCCACAUAAGCGAGAGAUGUAUUGGACCAAAUGAAAAAAAAAACUGUGUUGCCAAAAAGAAGAAGGUGAUUUUGGUUUCUGUAUGAUCCAUGGUUUUUUUUUAACACUGUGUGAAACUUCAUUACUCAGAAACUGGGAAACAAGAGUUUUAAAUACAGGGCGUUGAGAGGCACCAACAUGACCUUAACCCCAAAAUUACGAUAACACAGGAAAGCAAGAAU